Cyanistes caeruleus (blue tit) is the source of this 248-nucleotide long non-coding RNA. RefSeq lists it as uncharacterized. The record is from RefSeq and is a predicted model, not a curated record. NCBI's taxonomy places the organism in Eukaryota, Metazoa, Chordata, Aves, Passeriformes, Paridae.
UCAAAAGAAGGGAUUUUUAAAGACCACAGCUGCCCCUCUCCAUAUGUCAUUGUGAAUCAAUUGAGAUGCUUUGAAUACCUCUGGAACGUUAUUGUGCACUCUGGAAAAAAACUGCCAUGCUUCCCAGCAUACAAAGUCCUUAAAGGGGCACAGAGGGGGAAAACAAAGAGCAAGGCCAGAGUUCUUGCCCAAGAAUAUUCUCUCUUCCUGCUAACAUUUUGGGAGACAAGAGUAGGAGUCCUGAAGCG